RNAcentral lists this transfer RNA (76 nucleotides) under Candidatus Sumerlaeota bacterium. RNAcentral's name for it is "tRNA-Asn". It matches the Rfam family "tRNA". From Rfam's summary of the family: Transfer RNA (tRNA) molecules are approximately 80 nucleotides in length. Their secondary structure includes four short double-helical elements and three loops (D, anti-codon, and T loops). Further hydrogen bonds mediate the characteristic L-shaped molecular structure. tRNAs have two regions of fundamental functional importance: the anti-codon, which is responsible for specific mRNA codon recognition, and the 3' end, to which the tRNAs corresponding amino acid is attached (by aminoacyl-tRNA synthetases). tRNAs cope with the degeneracy of the genetic code in two manners: having more than one tRNA (with a specific anti-codon) for a particular amino acid; and 'wobble' base-pairing, i.e. permitting non-standard base-pairing at the 3rd anti-codon position. The record is from RNAcentral. Lineage: Bacteria; Candidatus Sumerlaeota.
UCCCCUGUAGCUCAAUCGGCAGAGCGGGUGGCUGUUAACCACUAGGUUCGAGGUUCGAGUCCUCGCGGGGGAGCCA